UACGUAGGGUGCAAGCGUUAAUCGGAAUUACUGGGCGUAAAGCGUGCGCAGGCGGUCGAUCAAGUCGAGUGUGAAAGCCCCCGGCUCAACUGGGGAGGGUCAUUCGAUACUGAUCGACUCGAAGGCAGGAGAGGGUAGUGGAAUUCCCGGUGUAGUGGUGAAAUGCGUAGAUAUCGGGAGGAACACCAGUGGCGAAGGCGACUACCUGGCCUGUUCUUGACGCUGAGGCGCGAAAGCUAGGGGAGCAAACGGG
This 253-nucleotide ribosomal RNA is filed under the name uncultured bacterium. RNAcentral's name for it is "partial 16S ribosomal RNA". It matches the Rfam family "Bacterial small subunit ribosomal RNA", at positions 524 to 776 of the family's 1533-position model. The record is from RNAcentral.